GGUUUUGCCAUGUUGCCUAGACUGGUCUCAAACUCCUGAGCUCAAGUGAUUCGCCUGCCUCAGCCUCCCAAAGUGGGAUUACUGGCUAAGCCACCAUGCCCAACCAACCUUAUUGUAUUUGCUAACCACUUACACUAAAAGUGAUGAUGUGAAAGGAAAAGGAAAGAUAUUUGCAACCAUUCUCCCAAUCAAUUUUAGAAAAUUUCCACCACCUCAAAAAGAAACCCUUGGAGACGAGGUUUCGCUGUGUUGGCCAGCUGGUCUUGAACUCUUGACGUUAUGUGAUCCACCCACCUCGGCUUCCUAGAGUGCUGUGAUUACAGAUGUGAGCCACCGUGCACAGCCACCAAUAUCUUUCUUUAAAGCCUGUGAAAACCCUGAGCAUUGGCGAAGUAAAUGUAAAACUUCUUUGAAGGAACAUCUUCAAUCCAGAUAGAAUUACCGCCAAUAGAAUCCUGCUGCUGAAGAUUUCAUAAUACAAAAUUGCAAAAUGCAUAAGAAAACAAUAUGCCACAAUUGAGAGUCAGCAUACAUGAUAAGCUUUAGUAAUAUACUAUCAAAAACAUAAAAGAACUAUUGAAUAGUAAAAUAAAUAUGCAUGAAAUGGUUAAGUAUAUAAACAGGAAAUCCAAAGCAUGAGAGAAAAAAACACUAUCAAAAAGACCAAGAAAAUUUAAAAAAGAAAUAAAAACAACCAAAUUGAACUUUUAGAAAUAAAAAAAAAUGUAGUCAUUGAUAUUAAAAACUCAGUAGACAGAUUGAAAAGAUUUGACUCAGCUGAAGAUGGAAUUAACACACUGGAAGAUAGAUCUGAUUGGAAAUGAAAUUGUGAUGCAGUUUCUUUUAUUAUGCCUUUGGACAUUGUACCUUACCCAUCUGGCCUCUUCUCUGAAGUGAAAGCCUGUUGCCUGUUUUGAGUUAGCAUCCCAUUCUCUGUUCUGCUGUAGUGUGCCGAUCUUCUAUUUCUGGCUCCCACUCCUCAUGAGUGAACCAUUUGCCAGAGAUAUUCCUACUUGUA
Piliocolobus tephrosceles (Ugandan red Colobus) is the source of this 1018-nucleotide long non-coding RNA. RefSeq lists it as uncharacterized. The record is from RefSeq and is a predicted model, not a curated record. Lineage: Eukaryota; Metazoa; Chordata; Mammalia; Primates; Cercopithecidae. The transcript is spliced from 3 exons.